Molecule: ribosomal RNA, 301 nt
Filed under: uncultured bacterium
Lineage: Bacteria
Description: partial 16S ribosomal RNA
Rfam family: Bacterial small subunit ribosomal RNA
Source: RNAcentral
CAGCCGCCGCGGUAAUACGAGGGGGGCAAGCGUUGUUCGGAAUUAUUGGGCGUAAAGGGCGCGUAGGCGGUUUGGCAAGUUUGGUGUGAAAUCCUCGGGCUCAACUCGAAGUCUGCACCGAAAACUGCCGGGCUUGAGUAUGGGAGAGGUGAGUGGAAUUUCCGGUGUAGCGGUGAAAUGCGUAGAUAUCGGAAGGAACACCUGUGGCGAAAGCGGUUCACUGGACCAUUACUGACGCUGAGGCGCGAAAGCUAGGGGAGCAAACAGGAUUAGAGACCCCGGUAGUCCCUGUCUCUUAUAC